Molecule: ribosomal RNA, 253 nt
Filed under: uncultured bacterium
Lineage: Bacteria
Description: partial 16S ribosomal RNA
Rfam family: Bacterial small subunit ribosomal RNA
Source: RNAcentral
UACAGAGGGGGCAAGCGUUGUUCGGAAUUACUGGGCGUAAAGGGCGCGUAGGCGGCUCUUCAAGUCAGCCGUGAAGUCUCCAGGCUUAACCUGGAAGGGUCGGUUGAUACUGUCGAGCUAGAGUGUGGAAGAGGCAACUGGAAUUCCGUGUGUAGCGGUGAAAUGCGUAGAUAUACGGAGGAACACCUGCGGCGAAGGCGGGUUGCUGGGCCAACACUGACGCUGAGGCGCGAAAGCUAGGGUAGCAAACGGG